Molecule: long non-coding RNA, 687 nt
Organism: Acromyrmex echinatior (Panamanian leafcutter ant)
Lineage: Eukaryota; Metazoa; Arthropoda; Insecta; Hymenoptera; Formicidae
Source: RefSeq, a predicted model, not a curated record
AAUGCAUCCGAGAACAGAAAGCAAUGUCGUAUGCUCCUCUCAGUACAUGCCGUGCAAUCUGCUCACCCUCACUUUUUCCCCUUUCCCUCGCCCCUAACAGCUGCAUAUGCCAGGGAGAAUCCGGGAUGGCCUGGGGUUCCUAUCGUCGCUUCAUACAUGCUGAGAGCCAUCGAUCGAAACAUCCUCGUCUCUAAUGAACCCCUAUCUUCAAUCAAGUCUACUAUAAAUAUCAUAGGAGGAAAGAAAAAUGUCAUAUAUUGACCAAAAAAAACAAUGCUAUACUUAUAAGCAUACUUGCUUAGAAAAUAAUUAUUUUCAGUGACUUCUGAACACAGUCAAUAUCUUCGAUAUAAGUAAACUCUAUAAAGGGUAUUAAUUUUUGUCAAUGAGAGCGAUGGAGCCAAGGAGAUCAAAUUAGCACAAGAAUUCCCAGUAAGUUACGUAAAGGUUUGUGACUUCGCAGAACUUAUAACUGCCGCAUCUUCCUUGAAUUUAAAUUCUUCAGGCACGUGGCAUAUCUAAAAAAAACUUCUUUCACAUUCCUCACCAUUCGCGAAAAAAAAAACACCGGCUUAAUCGUGAUUUGAUACAAUAAAACGUCCUCUACCUGGACAGAGAUAGUGAACAGAUGGAAUAUUCCCACUUAAUCAGAUUCAGUUGGCAAAUAAAAAAAAGGUGAAAAAAAUA